AGCGGCGGAUGGGUGAGUAACACGUGGGGAACCUGCCCCUAAGUCUGGGAUACCAUUUGGAAACAGGUGCUAAUACCGGAUAAUAAAGCAGAUCGCAUGAUCAGCUUUUGAAAGGCGGCGUAAGCUGUCGCUAAGGGAUGGCCCCGCGGUGCAUUAGCUAGUUGGUAAGGUAACGGCUUACCAAGGCGACGAUGCAUAGCCGAGUUGAGAGACUGAUCGGCCACAUUGGGACUGAGACACGGCCCAAACUCCUACGGGAGGCAGCAGUAGGGAAUCUUCCACAAUGGACGCAAGUCUGAUGGAGCAACGCCGCGUGAGUGAAGAAGGUUUUCGGAUCGUAAAGCUCUGUUGUUGGUGAAGAAGGAUAGAGGUAGUAACUGGCCUUUAUUUGACGGUAAUCAACCAGAAAGUCACGGCUAACUACGUGCCAGCAGCCGCGGUAAUACGUAGGUGGCAAGCGUUGUCCGGAUUUAUUGGGCGUAAAGCGAGCGCAGGCGGAAAAAUAAGUCUAAUGUGAAAGCCCUCGGCUUAACCGAGGAACUGCAUCGGAAACUGUUUUUCUUGAGUGCAGAAGAGGAGAGUGGAACUCCAUGUGUAGCGGUGGAAUGCGUAGAUAUAUGGAAGAACACCAGUGGCGAAAGCGGCUCUCUGGUCUGCAACUGACGCUGAGGCUCGAAAGCAUGGGUAGCGAACAGGAUUAGAUACCCUGGUAGUCCAUGCCGUAAACGAUGAGUGCUAAGUGU
RNAcentral lists this ribosomal RNA (743 nucleotides) under uncultured bacterium. RNAcentral's name for it is "bacterial SSU rRNA". It matches the Rfam family "Bacterial small subunit ribosomal RNA", at positions 94 to 823 of the family's 1533-position model. The record is from RNAcentral.